UACGAAGGGGACUAGCGUUGUUCGGAAUCACUGGGCGUAAAGCGCACGUAGGCGGUUCGUUAAGUCGGAUGUGAAAGCCCUCGGCUCAACUGAGGAAGUGCACCCGAAACUGGCGAGCUUGAGUACGAAAGAGGAUCGCGGAAUUCCCGGUGUAGAGGUGAAAUUCGUAGAUAUCGGGAGGAACACCGGUGGCGAAGGCGGCGAUCUGGGUCGAUACUGACGCUGAGGUGCGAAAGCGUGGGGAGCAAACAGG
Molecule: ribosomal RNA, 253 nt
Filed under: uncultured bacterium
Lineage: Bacteria
Description: partial 16S ribosomal RNA
Rfam family: Bacterial small subunit ribosomal RNA
Source: RNAcentral